UUUCCGUCAUUGUCCGUGAACAUGGAAAGCUUAACUCGCCUUUUACCUGAAGUAGUGCUAUCUACUGUCAUGUCAUCUGCUAUUUGCACUAUUUCACUUCCUGGUUUGUAGUCAUCGGUGGUAUAACCCUUGAUUGAGGUUGUAGCAGAUUCUGAACUAACAUCAGGUUGAUAAAAAGGAUGACGAGCCAAAGCAGACAGAACAGUGUCUCGACUUGAAGCAAGAAUACCAUGAGAACAAAGAGCCAAUUCACGCUGCAAGCAGAGAACAGAAGAAAAUGAUCAUGUGACAGUGACAGAACCACCAAAAAGGCCAAAUUGGCACAUCUUAUACACAAAAACAUAGCAGCACCAGUGAUAUACUUCUGUUGGAAGGAAAACUAGAAAGACAAGACAAAAGAUCAGUAUGGGGGAAGACAAUCAAGGUGGAGGCUCACUUUCAAUUUCUCUCGUUUGACAAUUCUUUCACAUAGAAGACGCAAUCUUUCCAAUUCAACCUGCAUAAAAUAAUCCAUAGUAUAAAGAGAACAAAUGCAUCAAAAUGAAAGAGUUCAUUGUAGCCACAAAAAGAUAACAAGCGAUAGAAUAACAUAAACCAACAUACACAGCUGAUUUGUAGUCGUUUUUAAAACAACAGAGCCAGCCAACCAAGAAAAUAAAACAAAGAAUAAGCAGGUAAAAGAUAGGUCUAUUUAAAUAAGAUGAAAGGCCAUAGAAACUGCCAUCCAUAAGAACACAACAAAUAACAUUGACAACUAAAUUAUUAACGACAGACACAAGAAAAACCGGCACAUUCAAUCUCUUCAUGGUCUAGAAACUCCAAACAAGAAGAGUAAUAUCAAUACUGUUAAUGCGUUCACAAGAUUAACAAAAAAAGGGGGAACGUACAGAUUUGGAUUCCGUCAAUAGAGAUUAAGAAUGCAUAAAAGAAAAAAGAUACAUGCACCUCCCUGAGGGUCAAUUGAAGGUAGACAAACGAAGGUUCUGAAAAUAACAUUGUCCUCCCCUCAGUGUUGAGAUGGAAUUAAAAAAAAAAUUCCAAAACAAUUCAUAAACCCUCUACCCUUUGCAUAAAAAGACCAAAAAAUCAAAAAAAAAAAAAAAGAGAGAGAGAAAAAGAACCACCAAUCUUUAUCUCCAAAGAUGAAAAAUUCAUACUCCCACCAAGCUAACUGCAACUGCUAUUGUCAUUUUUUUACCUUGUGCAGAAUCUUCAUAAUAAAUAUUGACAUUGUAAAGACAUGACCCAAUUGCAAAAGGAAACCCUAUCUUCUUCCUCUCAAUCUCCAUAAUUUCAAUCCAUGAUCUUCAUCAUGACGGGUUUGUGCCACCACUGCCAUUACAUAAACAAGCUUGAAGACCUGAAGCAGCACGGCAAUACCUUCCCACAGAUUUAUACAAUUACAAGCAUAGCUUCAAUUGCCUUUUCCAGCAAGGAAAAUAAAGAAACAAAAAUUUCGGUAAAAAGCAACCUAACUAGAGCAAAUUGAGAUACAUGCAAUGGCAAUACUUCCCUAACCCACUGUACAGUGUACGUCCUCAGACAACGCAUGUACAACAUUCCCCGUCAAGACGAGGGAGGCCAGCCAUUCUCGAGCACAGUACAUGUUAGUGCCAAGAAAGAGAACAUUCCACAAUGGGAAUUUCCCAACAUCCAGAAAUGCAUCUGGGAUUUCAAAGAAUCGAGCUAUCCAUUUUGUUCAACUGGUUCCUGCGAACUCAAAUCUGGAGUUGUCUCCUUGUCCUUAGGAAGGGACCGAAUUGGAACAUAAACAAAUCCUUUAGGUAGCCGCUGAUUCUUCAUAGAUGCUUGAUCUGAUGUCAUCACCAACUCUUUUGCCAAAGUUUCAGUAUGCUGCAUUAUUUAAAGUACUAGCAAUUGACUAUGAUGCUUAAAAGAAAGAAGAGAAAACUCAAAUCACAACCCCCUCACAAACAAACACUUACUUUUCUAUAUUUUGAACGCUUUUCCGUGUCAUCCGAAACAUUCCUUGAUGCAACAGAAAGUCUCUGCGGAAUUUGCUUCCCAGAAAAUGAAAUCCUCUCAAUAGGCUUUGGCGUCGAAAGGUUUUGGGAUGUAGAACUGUCAUCUGUUUUUCCGUCAUUGUCCGUGAACAUGGAAAGCUUAACUCGCCUUUUACCUGAAGUAGUGCUAUCUACUGUCAUGUCAUCUGCUAUUUGCACUAUUUCACUUCCUGGUUUGUAGUCAUCGGUGGUAUAACCCUUGAUUGAGGUUGUAGCAGAUUCUGAACUAACAUCAGGUUGAUAAAAAGGAUGACGAGCCAAAGCAGACAGAACAGUGUCUCGACUUGAAGCAAGAAUACCAUGAGAACAAAGAGCCAAUUCACGCUGCAAGCAGAGAACAGAAGAAAAUGAUCAUGUGACAGUGACAGAACCACCAAAAAGGCCAAAUUGGCACAUCUUAUACACAAAAACAUAGCAGCACCAGUGAUAUACUUCUGUUGGAAGGAAAACUAGAAAGACAAGACAAAAGAUCAGUAUGGGGGAAGACAAUCAAGGUGGAGGCUCACUUUCAAUUUCUCUCGUUUGACAAUUCUUUCACAUAGAAGACGCAAUCUUUCCAAUUCAACCUGCAUAAAAUAAUCCAUAGUAUAAAGAGAACAAAUGCAUCAAAAUGAAAGAGUUCAUUGUAGCCACAAAAAGAUAACAAGCGAUAGAAUAACAUAAACCAACAUACACAGCUGAUUUGUAGUCGUUUUUAAAACAACAGAGCCAGCCAACCAAGAAAAUAAAACAAAGAAUAAGCAGGUAAAAGAUAGGUCUAUUUAAAUAAGAUGAAAGGCCAUAGAAACUGCCAUCCAUAAGAACACAACAAAUAACAUUGACAACUAAAUUAUUAACGACAGACACAAGAAAAACCGGCACAUUCAAUCUCUUCAUGGUCUAGAAACUCCAAACAAGAAGAGUAAUAUCAAUACUGUUAAUGCGUUCACAAGAUUAACAAAAAAAGGGGGAACGUACAGAUUUGGAUUCCGUCAAUAGAGAUUAAGAAUGCAUAAAAGAAAAAAGAUACAUGCACCUCCCUGAGGGUCAAUUGAAGGUAGACAAACGAAGGUUCUGAAAAUAACAUUGUCCUCCCCUCAGUGUUGAGAUGGAAUUAAAAAAAAAAUUCCAAAACAAUUCAUAAACCCUCUACCCUUUGCAUAAAAAGACCAAAAAAUCAAAAAAAAAAAAAAAGAGAGAGAGAAAAAGAACCACCAAUCUUUAUCUCCAAAGAUGAAAAAUUCAUACUCCCACCAAGCUAACUGCAACUGCUAUUGUCAUUUUUUUACCUUGUGCAGAAUCUUCAUAAUAAAUAUUGACAUUGUAAAGACAUGACCCAACUGCAAAAGGAAACCCUAUCUUCUUCCUCUCAAUCUCUAUAAUUUCAAUCCAUGAUCUUCAUCAUGACGGGUUUGUGCCACCACUGCCAUUACAUAAACAAG
This 3445-nucleotide long non-coding RNA is filed under the name Olea europaea (common olive). Its description in RNAcentral is "long non-coding RNA (OEUR_LNC005619)". Lineage: Eukaryota; Viridiplantae; Streptophyta; Magnoliopsida; Lamiales; Oleaceae. The record is from RNAcentral.